UACGUAGGUGGCAAGCGUUAUCCGGAUUUACUGGGCGUAAAGGGAGCGCAGGCGGCGCGCCAAGUCUGAUGUGAAACCCCGGGGCUUAACCCCGGGCAUGCAUUGGAAACUGGCGGGCUGGAGUGCCGGAGAGGUAAGCGGAAUUCCUAGUGUAGCGGUGAAAUGCGUAGAUAUUAGGAGGAACACCAGUGGCGAAGGCGGCUUACUGGACGGCAACUGACGCUGAGGCUCGAAAGCGUGGGGAGCAAACAGG
RNAcentral lists this ribosomal RNA (253 nucleotides) under uncultured bacterium. Its description in RNAcentral is "partial 16S ribosomal RNA". It matches the Rfam family "Bacterial small subunit ribosomal RNA", at positions 524 to 776 of the family's 1533-position model. The record is from RNAcentral.